GCCACAGUGGGUAACAGCCCCGUAGCCGAAAAUCGCUUCCCUCCUGAGUGGAUCCUGAGUACGGCGGAACACGUGAAAUUCCGUCGGAAUCCGGGAGGACCAUCUCCCAAGGCUAAAUACUCCCUAGUGACCGAUAGUGAACCAGUACCGUGAGGGAAAGGUGAAAAGCACCCCGGGAGGGGAGUGAAAUAGAACCUGAAACCGUGUGCCUACAACAAGUUCGAGCCCGUUAAUGGGUGAGAGCGUGCCUUUUGUAGAAUGAACCGGCGAGUUACGAUUGCAUGCAAGGUUAAGG
RNAcentral lists this ribosomal RNA (295 nucleotides) under Chrysotila carterae. RNAcentral's name for it is "partial Bacterial large subunit ribosomal RNA". It matches the Rfam family "Bacterial large subunit ribosomal RNA", at positions 354 to 651 of the family's 2925-position model. The record is from RNAcentral. Lineage: Eukaryota; Haptophyta; Isochrysidales; Isochrysidaceae.